CGACAUGGAGAGGUCCAUGUGGUGAGGAGCUGAGACCACCUGCCAACGGCCAUCUGAAUGAGCCAUUUGGGAAAUGCGUCCUUCAGCCCUAGUGGAACCUUGAGAUGACUGAAACCCCAUUCGAGGCCUUGACUGCACUUCAUAAGGGACUCUGAGCCAGAAUUAUUCAGAUUCUUGAGCUUUUUCUUGGUCAACAGAACUGCCAACUGACUUUCUUGAGCUACUUUUUUCAUGUGAACUGAUCCUGCUUUGAAGGAAAUGGUGCUUUCCAAUUUUUUUCCUCCCAGUAUUUGACGAGUCAAAGUUUUGAUAUCCGAGAAUAAAGCUAUUGUUUUUAUACACAUUGGGAAGUUUCUCCUCUGUUUGAAAGCGAACAUUUUGAGUUUGGCCAUGUCCUACACUCUCAUCUUUAGAGACCACCAGGGAUUCUGUCUUCACCAUGAUUCAGGACCAACCAGAUUUUUAAAUGGCCUUCACUGUCUUAAAAUACCCAU
Molecule: long non-coding RNA, 494 nt
Organism: Rhinolophus ferrumequinum (greater horseshoe bat)
Lineage: Eukaryota; Metazoa; Chordata; Mammalia; Chiroptera; Rhinolophidae
Exons: 3
Source: RefSeq, a predicted model, not a curated record